This is a long non-coding RNA of Tarenaya hassleriana, 457 nucleotides long. RefSeq lists it as uncharacterized. The transcript has 2 exons. The record is from RefSeq and is a predicted model, not a curated record. Lineage: Eukaryota; Viridiplantae; Streptophyta; Magnoliopsida; Brassicales; Cleomaceae.
UAUAGAAAGAACAAGGCCUUGCAUGUAAACGUUGAAGCCCUAACUAAUGGCGACGAAGAGAUCAAACGUUGUUGUUCUCCUACCUUUGCUUCUCCUCGUUCUAUGCCUUUCCUCUCCUCUCGGAGUUGUGGAAGCGAAACACCGCAAACUCGCAGGGAUUAUCGGGACACCAGCCUCCAAAUCAGGACACGGCGGAGGGAAAAACCCCUCAGUUGUGGCCGAGAAGAGACAAUCACCGUUCGGUCGAACCGCAGUUCCUUGAUUACUCCAUGGAAGAAUCACUCCACAAAUAAAUAAAGUGUAUCAUGUCUAAGAAUCAAUUAUGAUCAAUCCACUAGUUCUUGUUCUUGUUUUUGUUGUUUUUAGUCCUACGUGGACCGUUGUUUGUGUAUGUUCAAUCAUUUUCUCCAUUUGUGUUUAAAUGAAUAAAUAGCAUUAUCUAUCGUGUUUAUCUACA